GCGUUCGCUUUGGCAGCACAUGUACUAAAAUUGGAACAACACAGAGAAGAUGAGCACGGCCUUUGCGCAAGGAUGACAUGCAAAUUCAUGAAGUGGUCCAGAGUUUC
Camelus dromedarius (Arabian camel) is the source of this 107-nucleotide small nuclear RNA. The record is from Ensembl. NCBI's taxonomy places the organism in Eukaryota, Metazoa, Chordata, Mammalia, Artiodactyla, Camelidae.